This 1390-nucleotide ribosomal RNA is filed under the name Staphylococcus aureus. RNAcentral describes it as "bacterial SSU rRNA". It matches the Rfam family "Bacterial small subunit ribosomal RNA", at positions 69 to 1440 of the family's 1533-position model. The record is from RNAcentral. Lineage: Bacteria; Bacillati; Bacillota; Bacilli; Caryophanales; Staphylococcaceae.
ACGGACGAGAAGCUUGCUUCUCUGAUGUUAGCGGCGGACGGGUGAGUAACACGUGGAUAACCUACCUAUAAGACUGGGAUAACUUCGGGAAACCGGAGCUAAUACCGGAUAAUAUUUUGAACCGCAUGGUUCAAAAGUGAAAGACGGUCUUGCUGUCACUUAUAGAUGGAUCCGCGCUGCAUUAGCUAGUUGGUAAGGUAACGGCUUACCAAGGCAACGAUGCAUAGCCGACCUGAGAGGGUGAUCGGCCACACUGGAACUGAGACACGGUCCAGACUCCUACGGGAGGCAGCAGUAGGGAAUCUUCCGCAAUGGGCGAAAGCCUGACGGAGCAACGCCGCGUGAGUGAUGAAGGUCUUCGGAUCGUAAAACUCUGUUAUUAGGGAAGAACAUAUGUGUAAGUAACUGUGCACAUCUUGACGGUACCUAAUCAGAAAGCCACGGCUAACUACGUGCCAGCAGCCGCGGUAAUACGUAGGUGGCAAGCGUUAUCCGGAAUUAUUGGGCGUAAAGCGCGCGUAGGCGGUUUUUUAAGUCUGAUGUGAAAGCCCACGGCUCAACCCGUGGAGGGUCAUUGGAAACUGGAAAACUUGAGUGCAGAAGAGGAAAGUGGAAUUCCAUGUGUAGCGGUGAAAUGCGCAGAGAUAUGGAGGAACACCAGUGGCGAAGGCGACUUUCUGGUCUGUAACUGACGCUGAUGUGCGAAAGCGUGGGGAUCAAACAGGAUUAGAUACCCUGGUAGUCCACGCCGUAAACGAUGAGUGCUAAGUGUUAGGGGGUUUCCGCCCCUUAGUGCUGCAGCUAACGCAUUAAGCACUCCGCCUGGGGAGUACGACCGCAAGGUUGAAACUCAAAGGAAUUGACGGGGACCCGCACAAGCGGUGGAGCAUGUGGUUUAAUUCGAAGCAACGCGAAGAACCUUACCAAAUCUUGACAUCCUUUGACAACUCUAGAGAUAGAGCUUUCCCCUUCGGGGGACAAAGUGACAGGUGGUGCAUGGUUGUCGUCAGCUCGUGUCGUGAGAUGUUGGGUUAAGUCCCGCAACGAGCGCAACCCUUAAGCUUAGUUGCCAUCAUUAAGUUGGGCACUCUAAGUUGACUGCCGGUGACAAACCGGAGGAAGGUGGGGAUGACGUCAAAUCAUCAUGCCCCUUAUGAUUUGGGCUACACACGUGCUACAAUGGACAAUACAAAGGGCAGCGAAACCGCGAGGUCAAGCAAAUCCCAUAAAGUUGUUCUCAGUUCGGAUUGUAGUCUGCAACUCGACUACAUGAAGCUGGAAUCGCUAGUAAUCGUAGAUCAGCAUGCUACGGUGAAUACGUUCCCGGGUCUUGUACACACCGCCCGUCACACCACGAGAGUUUGUAACACCCGAAGCCGGUGUGAGUAAC